Molecule: ribosomal RNA, 494 nt
Filed under: Fusarium sp. FLS-2010
Lineage: Eukaryota; Fungi; Ascomycota; Sordariomycetes; Hypocreales; Nectriaceae
Description: eukaryotic LSU rRNA
Rfam family: 5.8S ribosomal RNA (bases 177-330)
Source: RNAcentral
GUAGGUGAACCUGCGGAGGGAUCAUUACCGAGUUUACAACUCCCAAACCCCUGUGAACAUACCUAUACGUUGCCUCGGCGGAUCAGCCCGCGCCCCGUAAAAAGGGACGGCCCGCCCGAGGACCCCUAAACUCUGUUUUUAGUGGAACUUCUGAGUAAAACAAACAAAUAAAUCAAAACUUUCAACAACGGAUCUCUUGGUUCUGGCAUCGAUGAAGAACGCAGCAAAAUGCGAUAAGUAAUGUGAAUUGCAGAAUUCAGUGAAUCAUCGAAUCUUUGAACGCACAUUGCGCCCGCCAGUAUUCUGGCGGGCAUGCCUGUUCGAGCGUCAUUUCAACCCUCAAGCUCAGCUUGGUGUUGGGACUCGCGGUAACCCGCGUUCCCCAAAUCGAUUGGCGGUCACGUCGAGCUUCCAUAGCGUAGUAAUCAUACACCUCGUUACUGGUAAUCGUCGCGGCCACGCCGUAAAACCCCAACUUCUGAAUGUUGACCUCG